Molecule: small nucleolar RNA, 114 nt
Filed under: Ursus maritimus (polar bear)
Lineage: Eukaryota; Metazoa; Chordata; Mammalia; Carnivora; Ursidae
Also listed under: 1 other name
Description: Small nucleolar RNA U3
Rfam family: Small nucleolar RNA U3
About the family: Small nucleolar RNAs (snoRNAs) are involved in the processing and modification of rRNA in the nucleolus. There are two main classes of snoRNAs: the box C/D class, and the box H/ACA class. U3 snoRNA is a member of the box C/D class.
Source: Rfam by way of RNAcentral
CAGACUGUACUUUCAGGGAUCAUUUCUAUAGUUUGUUACAGGAAGAUCUUUUUUUAUAGAACCUGACUGUAUGAGGUGAAUGGCACUGUUUAUGUAACAUGGCGUUGUUUCUGU